CGACCCACCCACCCACGCCAUUUAGCCAUCCUCAAUAUUUAACUAUUAUUAAAGUAACCCUCUUAGUCCAGGUUGUAUCGAGAUCAGCAGGUUAACUUUUAAAACUGUUUCUCAUCCUCGUUCCCAGGGCUUCUCGCGACGUCAUUCGUUCCAGGCCCUAACAACUUAAUGUCGCUCCGUCAGUUGCGACUGGCGAGUGGCGACUACUCUGUCUGAUGAAAUAUCACUAGUAUUUUUUGCAAUUUCUGUUUUACUUUGAACAGAAAUAAAUAAAGCUGACAGCUAGGGGAUGUUCAUUGUGCAAUGUAAUUUGCCUGCUCGUAUCAUUGAGUGGAAGAAACGCUCCAAAUGGCGUAUUUUUUAGACACUUCGGGUAGUGGCAAUUUUGGUUUUCCCCCCAAGUCGGAUGUAAACAAUAGCCGAUGCAGCUUGCCGCCAGAGGUGAAAUUUGCUUUUUAUCUCAAUUUAUGAUGAGGAAUACACGUUUAUCAUUUUUAAUUCUGUUUUUCUAUACUCCUGUCACAGGUUGAAGAAGGCAACGUCGAAUACAAA
This is a non-coding RNA of Paramuricea clavata, 552 nucleotides long. NCBI's taxonomy places the organism in Eukaryota, Metazoa, Cnidaria, Anthozoa, Malacalcyonacea, Plexauridae. The record is from the annotation of a GenBank genome assembly.